This 340-nucleotide long non-coding RNA is filed under the name Olea europaea subsp. europaea. Lineage: Eukaryota; Viridiplantae; Streptophyta; Magnoliopsida; Lamiales; Oleaceae. The record is from RNAcentral.
AGAUACCCCCAUCCCCACCAGAACUCCAACUCCCCCUUAACGGUCAUAUUUUCCCCUACAAGCCUCCAACGGUCGUAUUUUCCUGCAAUCUUCACGCCUUGUUUCUCAUCAUUCAUCAAAUUGAUAUUCUCAAAACCCUACUUGUCAUUUCAUCUUUCUAAUUCUCGGGGACAAAAUCAUCAUCAAACUCUGUUUAUAUUAUAUAAAAGCUCAGUUUUUUAUGGUAUAUGGCUUUUCGGGUAGUAGGGUUCUUGAGAAGUGACUCUCAUAGUAUGUGAUUUUCCUUUUCGUGCUUGAUUGAAGGGAUUUUGAAAGAUAAGAAUAUUGGGCUUUGGGUGGG